UACGUAGGUCCCGAGCGUUGUCCGGAUUUAUUGGGCGUAAAGCGAGUGCAGGUGGCUUAUUAAGUCUGGUGUAAAAGGCAGUGGCUCAACCAUUGUAUGCAUUGGAAACUGGUAGACUUGAGUGCAGAAGAGGAGAGUGGAACUCCAUGUGUAGCGGUGAAAUGCGUAGAUAUAUGGAAGAACACCAGUGGCGAAAGCGGCUCUCUGGUCUGUAACUGACGCUGAGGUUCGAAAGCGUGGGUAGCAAACAGG
This 252-nucleotide ribosomal RNA is filed under the name uncultured bacterium. RNAcentral's name for it is "partial 16S ribosomal RNA". It matches the Rfam family "Bacterial small subunit ribosomal RNA", at positions 524 to 776 of the family's 1533-position model. The record is from RNAcentral.